Molecule: ribosomal RNA, 239 nt
Filed under: uncultured Fusibacter sp.
Lineage: Bacteria; Bacillati; Bacillota; Clostridia; Eubacteriales; Fusibacteraceae
Description: partial 16S ribosomal RNA
Rfam family: Bacterial small subunit ribosomal RNA
Source: RNAcentral
UGAAACUGCCUACGCAAGUAGUGAGGAAGGUGGGGAUGACGUCAAAUCAGCACGGCCCUUACGUCCAGGGCUACACACGUGCUACAAUGGCCGGUACAACGGGCAGCGAAGGAGCGAUCCGGAGCGAAUCCUAAAAAGCCGGUCCCAGUUCGGAUUGCAGGCUGAAACUCGCCUACAUGAAGUUGGAGUUGCUAGUAAUCGCGAAUCAGAAUGUCGCGGUGAAUGCGUUCCCGGGUCUU